RNAcentral lists this transfer RNA (68 nucleotides) under Marmota monax (woodchuck). Its description in RNAcentral is "tRNA.Ala". Lineage: Eukaryota; Metazoa; Chordata; Mammalia; Rodentia; Sciuridae. The record is from RNAcentral.
GGAUUGUAGUUCAGUGGUAAAAUGCUUGCCUAGCACACAUGAGGCACUGGGCUCAAUCCUCAGCACCA